AGCGGCGGAUGGGUGAGUAACACGUGGGGAACCUGCCCCUAAGUCUGGGAUACCAUUUGGAAACAGGUGCUAAUACCGGAUAAUAAAGCAGAUCGCAUGAUCAGCUUUUGAAAGGCGGCGUAAGCUGUCGCUAAGGGAUGGCCCCGCGGUGCAUUAGCUAGUUGGUAAGGUAACGGCUUACCAAGGCGACGAUGCAUAGCCGAGUUGAGAGACUGAUCGGCCACAUUGGGACUGAGACACGGCCCAAACUCCUACGGGAGGCAGCAGUAGGGAAUCUUCCACAAUGGACGCAAGUCUGAUGGAGCAACGCCGCGUGAGUGAAGAAGGUUUUCGGAUCGUAAAGCUCUGUUGUUGGUGAAGAAGGAUAGAGGUAGUAACUGGCCUUUAUUUGACGGUAAUCAACCAGAGAGUCACGGCUAACUACGUGCCGGCAGCCGCGGUAAUACGUAGGUGGCAAGCGUUGUCCGGAUUUAUUGGGCGUAAAGCGAGCGCAGGCGGAAAAAUAAGUCUAAUGUGAAAGCCCUCGGCUUAACCGAGGAACUGCAUCGGAAACUGUUUUUCUUGAGUGCAGAAGAGGAGAGUGGAACUCCAUGUGUAGCGGUGGAAUGCGUAGAUAUAUGGAAGAACACCAGUGGCGAAGGCGGCUCUCUGGUCUGCAACUGACGCUGAGGCUCGAAAGCAUGGGUAGCGAACAGGAUUAGAUACCCUGGUAGUCCAUGCUGUAAACGAUGAGUGCUAAGUGU
Molecule: ribosomal RNA, 743 nt
Filed under: uncultured bacterium
Lineage: Bacteria
Description: bacterial SSU rRNA
Rfam family: Bacterial small subunit ribosomal RNA
Source: RNAcentral